Long non-coding RNA from Priapulus caudatus, 114 nucleotides. RefSeq lists it as uncharacterized. Lineage: Eukaryota; Metazoa; Priapulida; Priapulimorpha; Priapulimorphida; Priapulidae. The record is from RefSeq and is a predicted model, not a curated record. The transcript has 3 exons.
GGUUGGUACAGAGGUUACUCCACGCGAUGUAAGGCACUCAAGGGGAUUGUUUUCCGACAACGUACGUCUGCCCAAGGAUUCCUCUGUCACGCACGAGGGCCCGUAUGAGAUUGU